UUUGGUUAUUUUAAUUCUACUAACUUGGUUCAAUAAUAAAUUGCUGUAAUCUGUUUUUCCAUUUCCAUUCACUUGCGUAUGGAUCAGGUUAUUUAAAUUGGCUCUCUGUUCAUGUAAAAUGUUCACUAACAAAAUGGGAAAGCUGAAACUUGUAAGGACGGCGUACAAAUAGCAUUUUAUGAACGAAUGAUACAAAAUGCUUCCUAAAUCAUAUGAUGAUGAUUUUCUCCGUAGCGUUUGUCCGUUUCUCCCCCCCCCGUUCUAAAUUUCUGAUAAGUGCUCCAUCUUGUCAUACAUGUUUGUUUAUGGUCAGGCAGAAGGUGUGACCAUUUUUAAAAAUUUUUUUUUAAAAGAAAACACGUUUUUCGAUACAGCAGUUUCUCCUGGUGACUCUCUCGUUAUCCGUAACGGCAAAGUGCAGCGGGAAAGACACACCAUUAACCAGGGCGGGGAAUGAAGUGAUUUAAGAUGUCAGUGGGGCUUCUGAAAAGCCGUGCUCGCCUUGUUUUUUUUUCAAAACAGCGCCGAAUGAGGGGGGGGGAAAGAUUGGGCGGGCGGUUCCAGUUCAAAUCCGAAAAGGUCUUCAACAAUUUCGGGAGAUUGCCUACUUUGCCCGAACUGGUUGCAGAUUGCCGCGAACUUGUAAUAUUUAAUAACUUUUUUUUAACUAAUCGAACGAAUGCAGAAAAGUUACUCUGCUUUUCGUCAGCCGUCCAUUUUCACGGGAGCUGCUGUUCAAAAUUCUUCCAUUUACAGACUAACUUUUGUGGGUUGUUUUUAUUUGUGUGUUUGGUGGGGGGGGGGAGACGGCUGAUUUAACAGCCCCUUUGUUAAGAAUGUUUGAGCUUUAGGGCUGUGCUCUGAUUCCCCCCCCCAAAAAAAGGAGGAACAUGUAAAUCAGAAUCUACCCCGUGCCCUGGAUCGGGAAAGGCUUGCCUCCAGAUCCAUGAAAUUACAAAUAAGAAUCGACUGGAUUCUCUCUUUUUUUUGAAAAAAAUGCACACUGAUUGGCAAGCCCCGUGACAUCACUGCUUUUUACCCCUCCCUCUCCCUCGAUUUUUUUUUACAGCUACAAUCCGGUGUGUGUUGUCCAUGUGCCUUCAAGCUUUUUUUUUGUGAAUGUACCAGGCACCGAGAAUGCGAUCAGCAUGAGGGGGCGAAGUAGGGUGAAUAAAAUGGCUGACACUGAGCAGACAAGGGUUCACACGCCACAUUGGGCAGAGAUUUGUGAUCAUCAAAUGAGCUGCAAGUGAGUUUAUAGAACUGGAACGGGUUGAAGGAAUACUGCUUUUAGGUGAUGUAUGCAGCCCAUUGAUCCCACUGUUAAAGGCACCCAUGGGACCUGGAGUGUACCAGUGGAUCAAAUAUUCCGAUUGAUCAAGAGGUCCACAUAAUCAUGUGACAACACACUAUUAGAAACACGAUGCAGGGGGUAUGCACGUCACUGUUAUACUUUAUUUACAGCAUAAAUUACUCAAAACAACUCUGCCUUAAAUAAAACCUGCGGGCGGAGAGCCUUCUCACACUCAACUGACUACUUGAAUAUUGCGAUAUUUGAGGAGAAAUUGUCUCUAAAUUGAACAGCAAGUAUACUUACACUGAGGUAAAUUUUUUUUAAAAAACCAUAAUAAUUGGACAGAAUGUUGUUUACUGAAUCACAGUAUCUGAAGGUUUAUAAUUUUUGCCGGUUUAUAGGGGGCCGUUUAAAGCCAUGUCUGCUGUAAAUAGUAAAGUGGCUUGUGACACUUGUAAUCUAGACAUCUGGGUUAUUGGUUCCGAGCACCUCGAAAUCCUACCUGGGCAGUUUGAGAAAGGAGUCCUGGCAAAUUUUUAAAAGUACAACUGAAUAUCAGUGAAGUGGUCACGUAAUGCUUGCUUUCAGUCUUAUUCAAAGAAAGGAACUUGAAUCACUGGUAAGAAAACCUACCACCCUCAUCCAGCCUGGCCUCUGCAUGACUCUAGGGUCCUUACAGAUGCGAGGACAAUUAAGCGUCACUCACAAGUGGCUAGUUAGAAGCUCGCUUAGAACAGCAGGCGUAGAUAGUAAAUGUUGGCAUUGCAACUCAUGCCCGCUUUCGCAAUGAUAUUAUUUAAAUAAACAUGCCACUUCAGCAAAUACAAGUCAAGGAGGGUGUUAUGUAUUCGUGUCAACCUGACCCUCACCCUGACCCUGAGGUGCCAGGCUUUAGAACUUGAAGCGGUGCCAUUGUAGAGAGAGGAGGUUUGUUGGGAUUCUCCAUGUGCUGGGAGAGUGACCCGUGGCAUUACCAGUGGCUGUCUUCUGUGUCUAGUCUCUGGCACCUUGAAGGCCUAGACACCGCCCUGGCCUCCUGUCUGUUUCUGGAUUCUCCUCCAUUUCUUUCCUGACUUUGGGGCUGACCGGUCACUUGCUGACGGCAGCUGUUUCCUGUGGGAUCCGGGGGAAGGAAGAGUAACCUUGUGUGUAAGCAGAUGGUUUUCUUUUCCAAAGCUUUGGCCUUGUUUUUCUGUUCUAAAAGAAAAAUUAGUCUGUCGUGAUACUGGACUUUACAAUCUCCCCACUCAUUGCUCUGCUCCCUCUGCUGUUUCUAUCUCAUCGCUACAUCCCCUUUGUCUGUUGAGCAAGAGUGAAUGUGAAAAAUGAUUGGUUAUGGCAGAAACCACAGAAAAGAAUUGGAAAGGGGAAAUCUCUGAGCAGUGGAGUGAAUAUCCCUUUUGCACUGAUCUUAAUUGAACAGUCAACACCUCUUCAAGUCAGUGCCCAUCGUUGCAGUUGUGGGUCAUUACAAUCUUUAGCCCAGUGAUUUCAAAUUUCUUCUUUGUGACAAAGUACGAGGUAACUCUGAUUUGGAAGUGCUUUGCUUCACUAAGGGCUUAUAAAAAGAAAAGGAUAAGGUGGUGGCCAACUCUAGUUUUAAAGUAGAGUACCACAUAGAGUAGGGAGUUUAAUUCAAUUAUCAGCAUGGUGGUGGGGGUGGGUAAAGAAUGUUAGAAACAAUACAGAAAUAAAUGGUUUGAGACACUGAGCUUCGUGAAAAUCAUUAGAAAUGUUUGGGGAGGGAGGGAGUUGAGAUCAGCCAAAGAGCAACAGGGUUAGGAGGUCUAUUUUAUUCCUAAUGUCCAGUAUUCAAAUACAGACCUUUUUAAUAUUUCAAGAUGCUUUGUACUUAUACAAAGCAGAUCGUAAUUUUAUAACCGCUUCUUGGAGCUUGCCAUUUGACUUUUUUUUUUUUAAGCUUAAACAGCUCA
Chiloscyllium plagiosum (whitespotted bambooshark) is the source of this 3228-nucleotide long non-coding RNA. RefSeq lists it as uncharacterized. The record is from RefSeq and is a predicted model, not a curated record. Lineage: Eukaryota; Metazoa; Chordata; Chondrichthyes; Orectolobiformes; Hemiscylliidae.